RNAcentral lists this ribosomal RNA (253 nucleotides) under uncultured bacterium. RNAcentral's name for it is "partial 16S ribosomal RNA". It matches the Rfam family "Bacterial small subunit ribosomal RNA", at positions 524 to 776 of the family's 1533-position model. The record is from RNAcentral.
UACGUAGGGACCAAGCGUUGUUCGGAUUUACUGGGCGUAAAGGGCGCGUAGGCGGCAAUUCAAGUCAUCUGUGAAAUCUCCGGGCUUAACCCGGAAACUGCCAUUGAUACUAUUUGUCUUGAAUACUGUGGAGGUCAGCGGAAUAUGUCAUGUAGCGGUGAAAUGCUUAGAUAUGACAUAGAACACCAAUUGCGAAGGCAGCUGGCUACACAAAUAUUGACACUGAGGCACGAAAGCGUGGGGAGCGAACAGG